RNAcentral lists this ribosomal RNA (265 nucleotides) under uncultured bacterium. Its description in RNAcentral is "partial 16S ribosomal RNA". It matches the Rfam family "Bacterial small subunit ribosomal RNA", at positions 524 to 776 of the family's 1533-position model. The record is from RNAcentral.
UACGUAGGGCGCAAGCGUUGUCCGGAAUUAUUGGGCGUAAAAGGAGCUCGUAGGUGGCGUGUCGCGUCGUGACCGUGAAAGCCCAUGGCUUAACGUGUGGGUCUGACGGUGGAUACGGGCAGGCUGGAGGCUGGUAGGGGCAAGCGGAAGUUCCUGGUGUGAGCGGUGGAAAGUGACGCAGAUAUCAAGGAGGAACACCGGUGGACGAAGGCGGCUUGCUGGGCCAGUCUGACGCUGAGGAGCGAAAGCGUGGGGAGCGAACAGG